UCUCCCAAACCACCUCUUUCUCCUCUCCCCAACUCCCACCCAAUCCCCUUAAAUUGCUCAAGAUCCUGAAAAUAAAAGUGGGAAAGGCAGGUUGAAUAGGGGAGAGGAAAAAUCUAUCAAGAGCAAAGAGCAAAUGAUUAUCUCAAGACAAGUGCCUUCUUCACUAAAAUCAGCUGGGUAGUAACAUACGCCUAUGGGAAAAAGCUAUGUCCUUGGAGUGACCUUCAUGCUGCAGCUGAAGCCAACAGGACAUGACUGGAACAGCCCACAGAAGGCUGGCAUGGCUACACCUGCAGUGUCUUGGGUCCGCGGCCUGACGCCAGCUCAAAACCUGACAGCCCACUUCUUCCCCCAGAGAAAAUUUGUCAACUUGUCUCCCUUCCUACAUGUUUCAUUGACACAGCUCACUGGAGAGAUCUGCUUUUAAAAAAGAGCCAAAUUUCCUAGCAUGUUAUUUACUUUUGGUCCACCAUAGCCCUCUAAAGAUGAUGCUUUUCUUCUCUGCUCAAUGGGUUGAAAUUUAAUAUUGGGAAUUGGUCAAAUCGAAUCGUUUCGAUAAUGAAAGCUGAACUACCAAGACUGCAAUUUCCUUUGUGGGGGACGUUAAUUUCUAGUCCAUAAAUGUGAGCGUACAUUUAGACUAGUUCUCCUGCCCAAUUUAUUUGAGUCUUAUAUUGGGUGUUUGUUGUAGGUAAAUGCAAAUACCAUGUUUUGAGUGCACAAAUCCAUGCUGUCUACUAUGACCUUGGGAAGUGGGGAAGGACAGAGACAGAUGUGUGUUCCGGUGCUCUGUGUACUGGAACCCGCUUCCCUUUGUCCUUUGUGCUACAGUCUGAGAGCCAAGUGUGUGGUCAUCUGGGCAUGCCCUCACGGAGGGUCAGUGCCUGGGGAGAGGGCAUUGGUCCCAUGGCAGGAAACACAGGGUCCUUUGUUUGAGAGAAGCAUUUUGUUACCGUGUGUGAAUGGAAGGAAGGCCGGGUGUCACACGGUUCCUUACUAAAAGCUCACUGGAUUCCAAGGGCAAUUGUGCUAACUCACAGGAACUAGUCUUUUUCUUCCGGCUCAGUGGACUUUACUGAAGUGUCCCAAAGAAAAGAUGAAAAGGUAGUCCACACUUGGAUGCCGGAAACCCGCCAAGGAGGAGAAUAAGUUGCCAUUUCUUAAUUUUCCUACGAUGCUGGUCUAAAAGGGUCUCCUGAGACAGUAACAAGGCCAAGUCAACAGUCCCUUUGAUAAUCAAGUCCCAAAGCACUGGAGUUGGAAUACAGCUACAACAAAGUGGUCCUUGGUUUUAGAAAUCUUCAAUAACCUGAGGAGACUGGGGCGUGACCACCUUUUUUUCUUUUACAACUGAGCCUCUGCCUGCCACGCAAACCACACUGACCAUCGAUGGCCAAGAGCUCAUCCCCCUUCAACACAAGCAGUUGAGUCAAAAAGCUGGUCUGACAACUUAACUAAUGGGCCCAACAAGUGAUGACACCCUCCAAAUUUGUGAAAACAUGCAUCGUCAAUGCCUUAUUGAUACACUCUUGGGAAAGGAAAAACCCCGUGCAACACAAAAGAAGCCAUGAGGAAGGGAAGGGGACACCUAGGGUACAUGAAGUUGUCUAGAAGAUGCCAGUUCAGCUUUGCCUAAAAACAUGACACACAUCAUCAGAAGAUAUUCAUCCAGUUCCCAAGCAUUUUCCUAAGGCCGGCCCAGGUUUCUGGAGACAAUCUGCUCUCUGUAGGAGAGAAAAAGAAGAAGAAGAAGAAGAA
Molecule: long non-coding RNA, 1758 nt
Organism: Zalophus californianus (California sea lion)
Lineage: Eukaryota; Metazoa; Chordata; Mammalia; Carnivora; Otariidae
Exons: 2
Source: RefSeq, a predicted model, not a curated record